GAUGAACGCUAGCGGGAGGCCUAACACAUGCAAGCCGAGCGGUAUUUGUCCUUCGGGACAGAGAGAGCGGCGUACGGGUGCGGAACACGUGUGCAACCUGCCUUUAUCUGGGGGAUAGCCUUUCGAAAGGAAGAUUAAUACCCCAUAAUAUAUCGAAUGGCAUCAUUCGAUAUUGAAAACUCCGGUGGAUAGAGAUGGGCACGCGCAAGAUUAGAUAGUUGGUGAGGUAACGGCUCACCAAGUCAGUGAUCUUUAGGGGGCCUGAGAGGGUGAUCCCCCACACUGGUACUGAGACACGGACCAGACGCCUACGGGAGGCAGCAGUGAGGAAUAUUGGACAAUGGGUGAGAGCCUGAUCCAGCCAUCCCGCGUGAAGGACUAAGGCCCUAUGGGUUGUAAACUUCUUUUAUACUGGGAUAAACCUACUUACGUGUAAGUAGCUGAAGGUACAGUAUGAAUAAGCACCGGCUAACUCCGUG
RNAcentral lists this ribosomal RNA (479 nucleotides) under uncultured bacterium. RNAcentral's name for it is "partial 16S ribosomal RNA". It matches the Rfam family "Bacterial small subunit ribosomal RNA", at positions 28 to 507 of the family's 1533-position model. The record is from RNAcentral.